Molecule: long non-coding RNA, 948 nt
Organism: Mauremys reevesii (Reeves's turtle)
Lineage: Eukaryota; Metazoa; Chordata; Testudines; Geoemydidae
Exons: 3
Source: RefSeq, a predicted model, not a curated record
GUGUGUGUGUUGCGGGGGAGUGCUCUGCAGCUCCCACUGUGGGAGGUCCACCCAAAAAUGUGGGGCUGAAAUAGCAUCCAGGAACUGAUCCCCAGGGUGUCACGAGAGAGAGCCAGGGCCAUCAGGAGCAGCACGGCCCUCCUGCGAUCCAUCAUCACCCUCCCUGAGUUCCACAACUCAGCCGAAUUCCCCAGGAUGGGUCACCACGUGGCACAGCUGGCUCUGUUCGUCGGUGACCCAGCCAAGGACAUCAGCCGGCAGGCCAGGGAGGGGGUUCACCGGCUCUACCAGCUGCUGCUGCACCAGAGGGACCUGACCAUCCACGAGGCCGAAGACCAGCACCUUGGACAGAGCAGUGCUGAGCAGUACUGCACCCGGCCGUGCAGUCGCUGAGACAAAUUGCAACCAGCCCUUGAGACGAGGGGCCUGACUUUGGGGUUGUGUUUGGCCACUGAGGCAGGUGCAAGGACUGUUGCUAACACCCCCUCUGACCCGUGGAAUGGGGUGAGGCUGGACUAGGGGGAAUUCUGCUGGAGGGCAGUGGCCUGAAGAAGGACGUUGUCAAGCGGAGAAAAACGCGGGUCCAGAUGCCAACGGAGGACAAGAGAGGGAUGGGACACUGCCAGCAGAGGGCACUCCCCAUGGACUGAUCUAAUUCCCGGAGCGACCAGCAGGAGGCACCGCGGUGGUGAGUCCCAACCCCGUCACAAUCACCCAGCCCUAUUGUGCGCCCCCGGCUACCCUGCAGACUCUGGUCCGGACCAGACUGGGCCAGCCGGAGUGGCCUCCCUCCGAGUGGGAGAGUGAGGGACCCCUACAGGGAGCUAGUGGAAGGGGAAAUGGAGCCCCCUGGCACUCACAGAAACUCUCUCCCUCUCUCUGUGGAGCAGGGUCCUUCCCUCUGCCCCCCAAAUUCCUUUGUCUGGGGCAGGAGCUCUUUCCCUCACA